This 792-nucleotide ribosomal RNA is filed under the name uncultured Gemmatimonas sp. RNAcentral describes it as "bacterial SSU rRNA". It matches the Rfam family "Bacterial small subunit ribosomal RNA", at positions 8 to 796 of the family's 1533-position model. Lineage: Bacteria; Pseudomonadati; Gemmatimonadota; Gemmatimonadia; Gemmatimonadales; Gemmatimonadaceae. The record is from RNAcentral.
AGAGUUUGAUCCUGGCUCAGGACGAACGCUUGCGGCGUGCCUAAUGUAUGCAAGUCGAGCGGGUCAUCAGCCUUCGGGUUGAUGGCUAGCGGCGAACGGUUGAGUAACACGUAGGCAACCUGCCCCGAAGUCGGGGAUAACUCGCCGAAAGGCGGGCUAAUACCGGAUGUGGAACGGAAGCGCCUGUUUCCGUCUCCAAAGCAGCAAUGCGCUUCGGGAUGGGCCUGCGGCCUAUCAGCUGGUUGGUGGGGUAACGGCCUACCAAGGCUCCGACGGGUAGCUGGUCUGAGAGGAUGGCCAGCCACAUUGGGACUGAGAGACGGCCCAGACUCCUACGGGAGGCAGCAGUGGGGAAUCUUGCGCAAUGGUCUAACGACUGACGCAGCGACGCCGCGUGUGGGAGGACGCCUUUCGGGGUGUAAACCACUGUUGCCCGGGACGAACAAGCGCUUUCGAGCGCUCUGACGGUACCGGGUGAGGAAGCACCGGCUAACUCCGUGCCAGCAGCCGCGGUAAUACGGAGGGUGCGAGCGUUGUCCGGAAUCAUUGGGCGUAAAGGGCGCGUAGGUGGCCCGGUCAGUCCGUGGUGAAAGCGCGGGGCUCAACCCUGCGUCGGCCAUGGAUACUGCCGCGGCUCGAGCACUGUAGAGGCAGGCGGAAUUCCGGGUGUAGCGGUGGAAUGCGUAGAGAUCCGGAAGAACACCGGUGGCGAAGGCGGCCUGCUGGGCAGUUUAGCUGACACUGAGGCGCGACAGCGUGGGGAGCAAACAGGAUUAGAUACCCCGGUAGUCC